UACGGAGGAUGCAAGCGUUAUCCGGAUUUAUUGGGCGUAAAGCGUCCGCAGGUGGCUCUUCAAGUCUGCUGUCAAAGCGCGGAGCUUAACUCCGUAAAGGCGGUGGAAACUGGGGAGCUAGAGUCUGGUAGGGGUCACGGGAAUUCCCAGUGUAGCGGUGAAAUGCGUAGAUAUUGGGAAGAACACCGGUGGCGAAAGCGCUCUACUGGGCCUGCACUGACACUGAGGGACGAAAGCUAGGGGAGCGAAUGGG
This 253-nucleotide ribosomal RNA is filed under the name uncultured prokaryote. Its description in RNAcentral is "partial 16S ribosomal RNA". It matches the Rfam family "Bacterial small subunit ribosomal RNA", at positions 524 to 776 of the family's 1533-position model. The record is from RNAcentral.